Molecule: non-coding RNA, 74 nt
Organism: Beta vulgaris subsp. vulgaris (sugar beet)
Lineage: Eukaryota; Viridiplantae; Streptophyta; Magnoliopsida; Caryophyllales; Amaranthaceae
Source: Rfam
GCGCCCGUAGCUCAGCUGGAUAGAGCGUUGCCCUCCGAAGGCAAAGGUCGUGCGUUCGAAUCGCGCCGGGCGCG